This 363-nucleotide ribosomal RNA is filed under the name uncultured bacterium. RNAcentral describes it as "partial 16S ribosomal RNA". It matches the Rfam family "Bacterial small subunit ribosomal RNA", at positions 337 to 697 of the family's 1533-position model. The record is from RNAcentral.
CCCUACGGGAGGCAGCAGUGAGGAAUAUUGGUCAAUGGGCGCGAGCCUGAACCAGCCAAGUAGCGUGAAGGAUGACUGCCCUACGGGUUGUAAACUUCUUUUAUAAAGGACUAAAGUGAGGCACGUGUGCCUUUUUGUAGGUACUUUAUGAAUAAGGAUCGGCUAACUCCGUGCCAGCAGCCGCGGUAAUACGGAGGAUCCGAGCGUUAUUCGGAUUUAUUGGGUUUAAAGGGAGCGUAGAUGGUGUGUUAAGUCAGUUGUGAAAGUUUGCGGCUCAACCGUAAAACUGCAAUUGAUACGGGCAGGCUUGAGUACAGUUGAGUUAGGCGGAAUUCGUGGUGUAGCGGUGAAAUGCUUAGAUAU